This 275-nucleotide ribosomal RNA is filed under the name uncultured Acidovorax sp. RNAcentral's name for it is "partial 16S ribosomal RNA". It matches the Rfam family "Bacterial small subunit ribosomal RNA", at positions 338 to 605 of the family's 1533-position model. The record is from RNAcentral. Lineage: Bacteria; Pseudomonadati; Pseudomonadota; Betaproteobacteria; Burkholderiales; Comamonadaceae.
CCUACGGGGGGCUGCAGUGGGGAAUUUUGGACAAUGGGCGCAAGCCUGAUCCAGCCAUGCCGCGUGCAGGAUGAAGGCCUUCGGGUUGUAAACUGCUUUUGUACGGAACGAAAAGACUCUGGUUAAUACCUGGGGUCCAUGACGGUACCGUAAGAAUAAGCACCGGCUAACUACGUGCCAGCAGCCGCGGUAAUACGUAGGGUGCGAGCGUUAAUCGGAAUUACUGGGCGUAAAGCGUGCGCAGGCGGUUAUGUAAGACAGAUGUGAAAUCCCCG